GACGAACGCUGGCGGCGUGCUUAAUACAUGCAAGUGGAGCGACGAACCAGGGCUUGCCCUGGGGCAGAGCCGCGAACGGGUGAGUAACACGUGGGUAACCUGCCUCGAUGACCGGGACAACCCGAGGAAACUCGGGCUAAUACCGGAUGUGCUCUCCUCACAUCAGUGGGAAGAGGAAAGGAAGCUUCGGCCUCCGCAUCGGGAUGGGCCCGCGGCCCAUUAGCUAGUUGGUGGGGUAAGGCCUACCAAGGCUUCGAUGGGUAGCUGUUCUGAGAGGAAGAUCAGCCACACUGGGACUGAGACACGGCCCAGACUCCUACGGGAGGCAGCAGUAGGGAAUCUUGCGCAAUGCGCGAAAGCGUGACGCAGCAACGCCGCGUGCGGGAAGACGGCCUGG
Molecule: ribosomal RNA, 397 nt
Filed under: uncultured bacterium
Lineage: Bacteria
Description: bacterial SSU rRNA
Rfam family: Bacterial small subunit ribosomal RNA
Source: RNAcentral